CCAAAGAAAAACUUCCGUGGAAUCCAUUCAUGUGCUCGUUAUAUCAUAGAAAUCUAAACAUGAAGUUAAACCUCAUUUUAUUUUAUUUUCUCUAAGAAGUCCAAUGCACUUGUACACUAUCUCUCUCAACCAUCUCUCUUCAUUGCUCUAAACUUCAUGUAUAUGAUUCAGGUUUACCAUCCAAAGACACCAAUUGCAGAAAUCAUGUGUUUGUAAUUCUGUAGGAUUUCAUGUUAUGUGAUAUACAAACCCUUCGUCUUUCUUAUUAUAGUAUUACCUUAGUUGUUUUCCGGCGUCCUGUCAUCUAGUUUUAUCCAGAACUAGAUGACCCGGUUGCGCCAAUGGCGCAAGAAGCCAUUUAGAAGCAAUGUUAGUAGGAGAUGUAGCUGGAAAUAUAAUGCAAUGUGGAUUGUAUUACAGAUAAUAGUACAGAUAUAUAUAGUAGAAUGACUUAUAUUGGUUUACAGCUUAUUUAAGCAUCUUCUUAGUCUGAUUGUGGUCUUUAGAGGGUGUGAGCGUACGAUAAGCAGUGUGUCAUUGUCGCAUAAUGCUUGCAUGCUACACUUCCACAUGCACUUGAAGGCCUGUAAAAGGUAGCAUAUUGUCAAACACGGAUCGCUGAGAUAGCAAAAUCAUCAGAACAAAAACAGUAAGAGCAACAAAAACAUGCACCGAUCGGCAUAAUUAUUUGAUUCACAUCUUUGACACAACCCUGCCUUUGAACUGCACAUCUGUGCCACAUACGACUGAAAGCAAAACAACAACAAAAAUAGAGAAAUAAGCGGACAAAUAUUGUACUCCCUCCGUCCCAAAAUAAGUAGUACUAAAUCAGCGACACUUAUUUUGGGAUGGAGGGAGUAUAAACCAGCUAAUGGGUUCUUAAAUCAAGUCAGCCAACAAAAAUAUAUCUUGUGAUCAAGAUAUGCAGAUCACUAAGUGUAGUGUACUUAUACAUUCACAUACACAAGCUUCAAAGGUAAUGUGUCAUGAGUGUGUGACUACCAUGAUUUUUUAAGGCGGUAAGGCCAUCUAAGGUGAGCACCCACCCCUCUGAUGCCUAAGCGCCUAAGGUAGACGUCUAAGCUCCUAAAGCAGGCACAAUUGCACCUUAUAAACACUGGUGACUACCAACCCCCACAUAGUUAUUUGGAUGAGAGAAAAUGGUAUAUUAGAAAAAUGCAUGCAACAAUUAGAAGACAAUGAAAAGCUCAAAAAUUAGAUAUAGCAAAUUCAUCGGAAUCACAUGGACAUAUUGGAGGCAAGUACGCGUCAAGUAUAUAGAGAAAUAAGAAUAGAGAGGUCAAACUCUAUAACAACUGUUAUAAAGCACGCUAAGCCAAACUCUGUAGCUAUGGUUCCAAUGGACGCUACGCUAAGACACACUUUGUAGAUUCAGUAGGUAAUGAACAGUUUGGGUCCAAGUAAACAAGUAAUGGAAAAGGUAACCUUUUUUACUUCUAAGGAAAUAUUAACAAUCUGAUUCUACAAAAGAUUUAAACAUGCAUACAUACAGGAGGCAGCUACCGAGCCACAAAAUUCAGAUAGGUUAAUCAAAAUGUUUCUACUACUGAAAACAGAUGAACUUGUACACGAACAAACAAGCACAGUGAGUGUCUGUCAUCGCUGCAAUUUGUAUAUGAGGGAAACAACUCACCUCUUCAAGAAGAAAUCAUGUCUUCCUUUCCUCCUUAAAGCUCUGCGAGCUGCAACCUACGCCUUGGCUGUCACAGAAGUAGCAGCAGUAGAACCACCACCUAAAAGACUUUCUUCAAAGCAUUUCAAAGUGCUUCAUACAACUCAUCAUUGGGUAGCAACACUGGACUGGUGUAUGAAACAUCACCACCAAAAUAUUUGUAACUAAGCCAUAGUUUGGGAAUCAAUCAAAGUAGCCUGCUAUAAAGGCUUCCCAUUGUGAAUAUCAUUGCUAGUAAGUAAUCGACUCAACCAGAAGAACUUUGGGAGCAUCUGGUUCCUGCAUGAAGGGAUUCCAAUUAAUUAUGAGAUAGAAAUUAUGCCAAAUUUGAAAACAAUGAUAACAACCGAACAAGCAAAGUCAAAUACAAAAUUAACUAAUUGGUGAUUUUAUCAUCACAACAACAAGUGUUUGCUAACAAGUCCAUGUGCGGCUAUGUGCUCCAUGCAUGGUGUAUACGAAAACAUGGCGAGGGGGGAGCAGGUUCAGCAGCGGACCAUGUUAUUUUUUGUCCUUAUGCAACAACUGCCAGCAUGGACUCGUUGCAUUUAGUGGAGGAAUCAUUUGAUCAUUAUGCAAAAUACUAAUCAAAAGCUAAUUCUUCUUACAAUGGCAUGCCCUAUUUAGGUUACAAUUCAGUUAGUCCUACUGGAGUAAUAAAACUCCAAUAAUAUAAUAUAUGUAUUCAUGAAUUUCGGGUUUCAACACAUGCACCAUGAAUCCUUGGAAACACGACCUUCAGGCCUACAAUCAACACAUAAUGAGAUAGAGUGCCGAAAGGUUGACAUGGUGUAGAUUCUCCUUCCGAAAAUAAGGCAUGGGCAGUUUCAUCUUUCACCACAGAUGAUCGAUCCUAACUAUUUUACUACGUAGUCACCUUAUCUUUCAGUGCUUUAAUAAUCCUUGGAAGUUCAUAUUUGUACUCGAUUAGUUAUCUUGCUAACUCUAGAAGGGUGGACGUUUGGUCAAGGAGGAUUAAGGUGGCAUUCGAGUCCAAUCAAUUGCUUCAUUGCUUGAUCUAGUCUGGAUAAAAAACCAAAUGCAAGAACAUGGCCAGGAAAAGGGAUAUAAUCAAUCUGUUCAUCCUGCACCUCCACAAUGGCUGAUCCUGCCAAAGUGUCAAUUCAAUCAAUUAUGGCACUGCUAUUGUUGUAAAUAUGGUAACUUUAAUUUUUUUGAUAACAUAACUUCUUCUAUAAUGAAAUUUUUUCCUUGGCCUAUAACACCACAUCAGAUAUACAUCAGCCUAUGUGAUGAUGUAAUGUAUAAGGGUAAUCCACCUGAAGUGCAAAUCUACCUCUAAUUAUGUAAUAGGACUUAAUAUAGUAUGCAUGCAUUCUUUUAUCUCCGCUUCUUAGAUAUUUAAAAUUGGACAGAACGACUAAUUAUACAUCUCUAGAUUCAUCGAAUACUUUGGGGAGAGAUUAUAAGCACUAGAAUAAUUUUCUUGAUGACCGCAGCCAGCAAGUCAUGAGUGCUAUGAAUGCCUUCUCGGUGUUCAGUAUCAGAGGAUCCUUCAAAUCAGUUCAGCAUCAUAAAUAAUUGAAACUAUGAUGAUCCUAGGCUCCUAGUAGCGGUCCAAGUUUUUCUCCGAAUAGUGUAGAAUUGUGAUGAAGCAAAUGGACACAUAAUCAGUACGUGUAAAAGCUAAAAGAAGCAAAAUAUAUUCAUAAACACAGUGCUAGAUAAACAAAAAGGACCUUAAAUACAACUACAAAGAAAUAUCAUGCCAAGUGCAGCUUGUCGUUGGAAAAUCUUUUAGAUGCAUGAUGCUUCUACAGAUGAAAAGCAUAUAUGACGCAUUACUGUCAACUCAAUUAUUCUGCUCUAGUUGAAAGUAUAAUGGCCACAUAUAUCUACUUUCUGAUAGUAGCCAUCCAAGUUUUUCUCCGAAUAGUGUAGAAUUGUGACGAAGCAAAUGGACACAUAAUCAGUACGUGUAAAAGCUAAAAGAAGCAAAAGAUAUUCACAAACACAGUGCUAGAUGAACCAAAAGGACCUUAAAUACAACUACGAAGAAACAUCCCGGCAAGUGCAUCUUGCCGUUGGAAAGUCUUUUAGAUGCAUGAUGCUUCUGCAGAUGAAAAGCAUAUAUGACGCAUUACUGUCAACUCAAUCAUUCUGCUCUAGUUAAAUUUAUAAUGGCCACAUAUAUCUACUUUCUGAUAAUCACAAAUGUGCAAAUUUGGAGUACAAUCAAAAUAGAACUAUAUGGAAAUGGCUUUAUUUUAGGAAUUGAUGUAUGGAAAUAGCGUAGAAAAUAUAAGCAAAGAUAAAUAUACACCUUCCUUGUCUCCCGAACCUGCACAGUUCACACGGCCCAAUAACUUUGGUAUGUUACACCAUCAUGUUGCACGUCUAUGGCAUGGAGUGAAAUCUUGUACCUGCAAGAAUGGUCGCAUAAUUUGAGAUCCACUCGUUAUCGAGACUAUGCGUUUAUUUCUUGUUUUUAUAAUAGAAUUACCUAGGAAGCGGCUUAGGAGUGGAACACAUGGGGCAUCUAUAUAAAUCAUUUUAUUUUCUUAAGUUCUUCCAACAUUUCUCGCAGCUAAUAUACCACAAGUCUUCACCUGAGACCACUUAGGUGGCCUAGAGUCAAGAAUAAUCACCCAAUUCAGUAACUUUUCAUGGACUAAAACAAAAUACACGAUAUGCAGAAGUCCCAUUCUCUUGGUUCCUUCUUUCAGCACUAAUCGAACAGAAGAACAUCAACUGAACUUCCUACUAUCCAUACAUGAAUAUAGAUACUUCUUGCGAAACAAAAAUGAAUCAAAGGACUGCUCUAUAUUUGGGAAGCAACCAAAUCUAAAAAGUAUCUAUGAACUGAUCACAAACACAUAGUUUCAGUACUGAAACAAGUGCCAGAAGAACUCUCUCUAGAUUGAGGUAUACUUCGAGGCGAGUCUGAAACUCGCCGGCUUACGGUGUAGCUCAAGGCAAAUCGAAAUAUACACGUGUUGUUUUUACAGCACUCAGAGAGAAAAAGUGUACCAUUGAUGUUUAAAAUCGGACAAAAUAAUCUCAUACUACACGGCACGCAGACUGUUGUAUUACUCACUCUCCGACCAACAUCUCCAAGAACAAGAUAAUCUCAUACUACACGCAGACUGUUGUAUUACUCACUCUCCGACCAACAUCUCCAAGAACAAGAUAAUCUCAUACUACACGCAGACUGUUGUAUUACUCAUUCUCUGACUAACAUCUCCAAGAAAUCUCACUGUAUUUGAGAAACCACUCUUCUUUCAAACUGGACGUAGAGAAAAAUGACUGCUUCCUUUCUAAAUCUUAGACCAUUCCUAAUCAAAAUCGUAAAUAAUUUCCUAAUCAAAUCACUAAAGCAUGAAUCUACCAUUGCAUUCUGCCUACACAAGCCCCACACACGCGGGCGCAGAGAGAGAGAGAGAGAUGGGAGGUGCAGAGAAGGCUAUGGAGGAUGGUGUUGAUCUCACCUGAGAGGACCGGCAGCCAGCUCAGAGAUCCACUUCUCGCCGUCGUCCUGGCGUUCCCAUCACAACCCUCACCCUGUUCCCUCUUCUGCCACUUUGCACGUGUGUCUCUCCCGCUUCAGAUCUGAACCUUAGGGAGGAAGAACAAACGACAUGGUGGCGUGGGGAGAGAACCCAGCGCCGCUGCAUCCUCUGACCCCCACCUCCUGCUCACCCUCGUGCCUCCUCACCCCGUCGUCCACCUCCCUCCUCUGCUCCCCCGGGUCUCCUCCUAUCGUCGGCAGUCAACGUGACGAGCAGGAUAGCAGCGGCUUGGGGAAAGGAGAAGCCAACGCGAAAGACGGUGGUGCGGGGCUGGCACGGCGGCGGUGGCGGCUGAUGGGGAACGGCGGAGGAGAGGAAGGGCAGGGAUGGGAGCCGGCGGAGGAAAGAGGGGACGAGGAGACACGGGGGAGAUAUUUUCUAGGGCUCGCCUCGUCUCUAGCCUGAACCACGCACACCGCAGUACCCGUAACAACCAUCUGAUUCACUGGACCAUGGCCAACGAGACCCACCCGGCAGCCACUCUCAAAAGAAACGUUAAUGUAAAAAAGAAUGGACGGUUUAUCACAAGCCAGCAGCCAAAAUAAUGCUACAGGAAAGGAAUCG
RNAcentral lists this long non-coding RNA (5787 nucleotides) under Triticum aestivum (bread wheat). RNAcentral's name for it is "long non-coding RNA (TAES_LNC017849)". Lineage: Eukaryota; Viridiplantae; Streptophyta; Magnoliopsida; Poales; Poaceae. The record is from RNAcentral.